Scylla paramamosain (green mud crab) is the source of this 3227-nucleotide long non-coding RNA. RefSeq lists it as uncharacterized. Lineage: Eukaryota; Metazoa; Arthropoda; Malacostraca; Decapoda; Portunidae. The transcript has 3 exons. The record is from RefSeq and is a predicted model, not a curated record.
GGCAGAGAGAGAUUGGGAGCAGUGGUGUGUGUGCGUGUGUGUGUAUAGGUACACGUCGUGACGCUCUGUUCAGUCUGCCACGGCCGCGGUAACUAGUGUACCAGGCUGCCUGUCUCGCUCGCCUCGCUUAGUCGUACCUACCUCAAGGGGCGGGCACAGAACCCGGCCACUCUUGCUGUGGUGGUAGUGGCGGCGGUGGUGGUGGUGGUGGUGGUGGUGGUGGUGGUGGUGGUGGUGGUGGUGGUGGUAGUGGUGGUGCUAAGGUGGUCGUCAAGGCGCGCACUCAGCAGGGGGUCGAGGUCUGAUUAGCAAUCCCCGUUGUCUUGGGAGGCGAGCCUCAUACCCCCCGUUCUGCUAUUCUCCCAGUCGCUGCAAGCCUUGUGUCAGAUCGCUCGUCUCCCACGUCACUGAGGAAGGUGACUCAGGGAUGCUGACCGGAUGUUUGCCUCUCGGACAGCGACGUGCGUGUCUCAACGGUCAGUACUCACGAAUACUGGGAAGCUUCGUGGAAGUUUGGAAUACAGGAGUGGAGCACCAAGGAGGGAUGCAGCCUCUCCUCCUGCGGGAAUCAACAAUCACGUGUAGCUUCCUUCACUACUACACUAAAACACAAGCCACCAGCACUCCUCUUUCCCGAUCACCUGAGAUAACUUUCGCUCAACAAACUUCACAAUUGCGACAAUGGAACUCCCGCGGAACCUUAGUGGUUGUGUGCGCUCGGCUGCGGGGCGACUGACGAUGAUGCAACGUGUCCCACAGAUUUAUAGAAUGCCUCAAACACCACCAUCAGCAACACGGCGGCAUAACUGCCACAGAUUCACACAAGGAGAGACACUGACAAGCUUUCCUCUGCACAACGUCACACUUACUUAGUCUCGGUAUUCAUUAAGUAUAUUUAGAACGACUUAAUGUGAGACCAAAAAGGUUGGGAGGUGAUAAGGCGCCGCCCACCGCGCGCUAGUAACCGUUGCACUACGUGCCUCAAUGCAUGCACCUGUGAGGCGGCCGCCGUUGCACCGCCUACUCACGCAUUUCUUCAUGCAAUGACGGCAUUAAUUGGCAGCCUCGCUGAUUGAGCUGUUCUGCACCGCCGUGGUAUUUAUAGUGGCCAGGAGCGUGACGCAGCCAGGGCGUGCUGCUUCUCACCCCGCAGUGCGUUGCUCGGGCAACGCACCGUAGCCGUCGAGGACCCAAGACACCUGCAGCAGGCAGGGGCGCCGGCCACCAAUAUAGCCGCGUGGCGGCCGAGGCCACGUGGCUUCUGGGAGCAAACAACACGUGCUUCCGGCCCACGGCUGCCGAGGUGAGCUGAGUGAAGGCGAGGAACAGCUUAGCACGCAGCCCAGUCCAAGGGCGGAGGAGAGUCACACGAGACGCGGCAGCUCCAAUGACGAGAAGGAAGCCGUGCCGCCAAUCAAGCAGGAAGCAAGGCCGCCCUGCUGAGGUGCCGCCCAUUUGUCCAGUCACCUGUAUGGAGGGAUUAACGGGAGGGCGGAUGUGUGUCCUUUACCUUGCUGUGCCCCGCCCUCAAGGCCUCACCUUCCCUCACUCCUGCCGCGGUACAGAAGCCAACAGGAAGAAAAGAAACCUUCGUCAUCAUACUGCUCUGCAUCAUCUACUCGAGAUUAGACUAUGUGGCUGAUCAAAGACAGUCUCGUAAGGGUCAACAAGUCAGAAAGAGAUGGGAAUUAAGAAACCAGUUCACAAGUAGAGUAAGAGAUGACUGGAACAGACUCAACAAUCAGGUUGUUAGUGCCUAGCCAAUAGGGAGAUUAAAAAAAAGAUUGGAUAAAUUUAUGGAUAGGUGGGUACAGGUGAGUAUCAUUUAUACGGACUGCCACGUGUAGGCCUGCCGGCUACUUACGGCUUCAGUGAUGUUUUUAUGUUCUUAUAUCUGCUGCUUUUUGCUCUGUUUUUUGUUACUUUCUGAUGGAUACUGCCAGCACGGCCUGACACGUGAGGGCGCUAAAUUAUAUGGAGAGGUAUGAGGGAGGUGAGGACAAGGAAGUCUUGAGGGACUAUAAUCCCAAAUAUUCAGGGUUUAAUCUCGAUUUUUUUUUAACAAGUUGUAGUGAAAGUCAAUGGAGUUUUCAAGAGUGCUUUUAUGAUUGUUGUAAUGAAUAACAAAGGUUCUAUAUAAUCAAGAGAAAAAAAAAGAAAUAUCAUGAGAACCUAACUAUUCAUCUUUAUCUUAUCUCAACUAUUUUUAACAUGCUACAGUAAAAAUCAGAUGAGUUUUAAAGGGAGUUUUUAUGAUUUUUGUGAUGAUGUAAUAAAGAAUUUCAACCCAAAAAAAAAAACAAUUCAUGAGAACCUAAUUAAUCAUCUUUAUCUUAUUUCAACUAUUUUUAACAAGCUCUAGUAAAAAAGUAGCGGAGUUUUCAAGGGAGUUUUAUUGAUUUUUGCGAUAAUGUAACAAAGCUUCUACAUCAUUAAGAGAAGGAAACACUCAUGAGAACCCGACUAGUAAUCUGCAUGGCCUCUGAGAACAGUCGCCGUGAGAGAACCAAGCGUUCCAAAACACGGAACUGGGCCACGACGGGAGCGGCCGAUCAAUGCUGCCGUGUGGACCAGGCGCCGCUCACUCCGCGCUGGCAGCUCCUCGAGUCAGGAAGCUUAAACAGCAAAAUAACUCGACAAAAAAAACGAAUAUAAAAGACUCAGAAAUGUGGUAAGGAAACUGAAAUUGUGACAGGAAUGCUAUAUUUUCCCCUUGUGCUACAGUAAAAAAAAAAAAAAAAUCUCUUAGAAGAUAAUAUAGUCGAAUCAUUAGGGAUUAGAAUAGCAUGCCUGUUCUUCUAUCUCUUGGGUUUUCCUAUUAGCUUCUCCAGUAAAGGAUCGAUAUGAGAAAAAUACAAAAGAAAGAUACCCGAUGAAGAGAAAUCACAACGAUAUACAAUACUCCUCCUGGUCUUUUGCCUAAGUUUGCCUAGUUUCUCCUGUUCAACGACCGACAUAGGAGAAAUAAAAAGAAAGAAAUAUAUACAGUCAAAUCAUAAGAAAGUACGAUAGUUAUCCUAGUCCUUUGUUUUGGUUUUCCUGUUUCCCAGUUCAAGAUUCGACACAAGGGAAACACAGAUGAAGGAAAGAAGGUGGACAAGAAAGUGAAGACGGAGAAGUAUCUGAGAGGGAAAAGGUCAUGUUGUUGUAGUAAAUCUAAGUGUCUGUCAUUUUGCUUCCUCACUACAUGUCUCAUAAACCUUGGAAGCAGGGAAACUUUGAGCACC